This 396-nucleotide ribosomal RNA is filed under the name uncultured bacterium. Its description in RNAcentral is "bacterial SSU rRNA". It matches the Rfam family "Bacterial small subunit ribosomal RNA", at positions 975 to 1374 of the family's 1533-position model. The record is from RNAcentral.
CAGGGCUUGACAUGCAGGUGAAUAUGGCAGAGAUGCUAUAGUCUUUCGGGACACCUGUGCAGGUGGUGCAUGGUUGUCGUCAGCUCGUGUCGUGAGAUGUUGGGUUAAGUCCCGCAACGAGCGCAACCCUUGUUGUUAGUUGCCAUCACUAAGUUGGGCACUCUAACGAGACUGCCGGUGACAAAUCGGAGGAAGGUGGGGACGACGUCAAAUCAUCAUGCCCCUUAUGUCCUGGGCUACACACGUACUACAAUGGCUAUAACAGCAGGGAGCUAAGGCGUAAGCCGGAGCGAAUCCUCAAAAAUAGUCCCAGUUCGGAUUGUGGGCUGCAGCCCGCCCACAUGAAGUCGGAAUUGCUAGUAAUGGCAGGUCAGCAUACUGCCGUGAAUACGUUCC